AUGGAGAUGCCGGCGCCGAUCAAGACGGGGUCGUGGAGCCCUGAGGAGGACGCCCUGCUGGUGGCCCUCGUCCGGCAGCAUGGCGCGCGGCGGUGGAGCGUGAUCAGCGCCGGCGUGCCCGGGCGCACGGGCAAGUCGUGCCGGCUGCGGUGGUGCAACCAGCUCAGCCCGGCCGUGCAGCACCGUCCUUUCACGGCGCAGGAGGACGCGCUCAUCAUCGCCGCGCAGGCGCGCUACGGCAACAAGUGGGCCGACAUCGCGCGCCUCCUCCCCGGCCGCACCGACAACUCCGUCAAGAACCACUGGAACUCCAACCUCCGCAGGUGCCAGCGCCGCGCCAAGGCCAUGGCCGCCGCCGCCGCCGCGCGUGCCGCCGCCUCCUCCUCGUCGUCGUCCGGAUCGGCCGCGAGAGCCAAGACGCAACAGCAGGAACAGGUCGUGGUGAUGAACGGGACGCCGCCGGCCGCCGUGCAUGGAGCGGGUAGUGCUGCUGUCGAUGACCCGCUGCCAAUGCCGUCGCUGACGCUGAGCCUGGGCCUGCCCCAGAUGGCCGCGGACAGGGCGUCGGAGGAGGCAAAGGCAAAGGAAAAGGAAAAGACACCACCGCCGGUGGGCGUGGGGGACGAUGAAGUGCGGCUGAUGGCGGCGAUGCGGCAGAUGGUGAGGGAAGAGGUGGAGAGGCAGGCAGGGCAGCUCUUGUACUCGGUCGUCAUGGCCACCACCGCUGCCAGGACCGACGGGACAUCGCCGUCCGAUCGCCCAACCAACGGCCACCACUAA
Molecule: ribosomal RNA, 780 nt
Filed under: Triticum aestivum (bread wheat)
Lineage: Eukaryota; Viridiplantae; Streptophyta; Magnoliopsida; Poales; Poaceae
Description: partial small subunit ribosomal RNA
Source: RNAcentral